AAAAACAGGGGACGCAGCUGCGGGGGUUCCAGCUGGUUCCGCCAUUACAGGCACUCCAAGCGCACCCUCCCCUGCUCCCGCCAUCCCAUCGGUGGUCUCCUCGGGCCGUGGCACCGGGCCGGCCUACCCCUCCGGCCUGACGGCGAACUCCUCCUCCGCGCCCAAGCCCUCCGGCCUCUCGACCGUGUCGCGGCGUCCGCCCUCCCGCUUCCGAGCGCGGUUCUCCGCCGUGAGCAUCGCCACCGCUUCGCUGAGAUCCCCUCCACGCCCCCUCCGCCUUCCUUCCGCGGCUGCGCCUACGCGCCGACGUGACGCGACCUGCCUCUGCUUAUCCGUCUCUGGGCCGGCGGGUGCCUGCUACAUGUUCGACCAAAUGGUUCAGUGCCCGUUUCUCCUUUCUCUUACUAGUUUUACAACUUCCAGAAAAUCGUGAUCCUGCGCUACCAAGCCUUAUGGCAGUUCCAUCUGAACCCGCCACUGCCAUCACCGCGAACCGGGACUUUGGAAAUUCGACUGGGUUUGAUCAUUCUGUACCAAGUCUGCUUGCAUUUGACCUAUUGCCGGGCUAGCUUCAUCACUCAAAUAAAGGGUCAUGGUUCAUCUUUACUUCGAGAUCUAACUCUCCAUAGCAAUAAAUUCUACAAAUAUGACCAGCUUCAAUCUGCUUCGAAAUUAUGGCACUUAUCUAUCGUUCUGGGAUAAUUAUCUACUAUUUUAUUGUGCUGGCCUAUUUUCAUGAGCAUUCCUUUCUAUGCCUGAAACCACUUUUCAGUCUUGACAUGGGAUACUGAGUAUUCAUGCCCUCCUACACCUUCCUACAUGGUGUAGGUGAGAGCACUGCAUUGUUGGGGGAUUUAUCCUGAUAUCAGUAGUAAUAACUCAAUAUGUCAGCUAAUUUUGCAUGCUGUAUUCA
Molecule: long non-coding RNA, 913 nt
Organism: Triticum dicoccoides
Lineage: Eukaryota; Viridiplantae; Streptophyta; Magnoliopsida; Poales; Poaceae
Exons: 2
Source: RefSeq, a predicted model, not a curated record